UUUUUAUUAUUCAUUUUUUUUAUUAUUGUUAAUAAUAAUAAUGAAUAUCAGAUCUUUUUGAUGAUGUUUGGUUUUUGAUUUGCAGAUGUUGGUUGUGAAUCUCUUUGCUUCAGUGGCGAUAAAUCAACAUUCAAUGAUGUCAUGUAAAGAUGAGGUGAUGAGUUUGAUAUUUUGUUUCUUAGAAUCUGUGUUUUGAGCAGUUUUAGUUUUCCAUGGGAAAAAAGAAUUUGGGGCGAAGAAUAUGUGUACCUGAAACCAGAUCAACUUUCUGUUUAUUCUUACAUUGGCAAUCAAAAUUCUUGCUUUUUCUAAUUUUGGGUUCAUCGUUACUGCCUUCAGCAGUAGCAUGACUUACUUUAUUUUAUUUUUCCCAAUUCUUAAUUUUUUUGUUUGUUUCCUACAUUUGCUGCCUUCAACAGUAGCAUGACUUAUUCUAUUUUUCUUUUCCCAAUUCAUAUUUUUUUUUUGUUUCCUCAUUAAUGCAUGAUGCAGUUUCUUUUCAACCAGAUUAUGGUAAGAAAUUUACGAAUAUCAAUCGAUAUUAUUUCCAAAAUUUAGUUUUUGGCUUCUUCAGAAGAUAAAUAUGGCUAUCAUAAAUUGAUAUUAUUUCCAAUAAAUCGUCUUUUAUUUAUUGAAUUUCCGGGCUUGGUCGAAUUCUAUACAAAGCACUUGCACAAAGAUUAUGGUGAUAUAUCCUCGCAGCGAAGGAUGAAGCGAUGAACUUUUAUCUUUCAUAGUUCACCGUUUUUCCUUAAACAUCUUCUAUUACCCAACCGUAGUUUUUUUUUUAUUCCUUUUAUUGUUUAGUAUUUUUGUUCAUUUUAAUUUAUAUUUGGUUUUGUUUUGCAGUUGAUCGUAAUCGUUCCUCAUAGUCAAUAUUGAAAUAAUAAAAUUAAAUCUGGACGUUUACUUUCGUACGAGUGUAUAGGUGAGGUACGUUGAAAAGUGUUUCAUGGGAAACUCGAAACUGUUUAUGGGAAUCCUGAUCAAUUUCCGCAAGAGGAAAUCAAUUAAACAAGUUAGGCUGUUGGAGCCGGUAACUCCGUUACAAGCAAGACUAAAUCGUUUGCGACGUAGGGUGUGAUAUUAGAGAGGAAAAAUAAGAGAACACGUGGAAUACGUCUCGGUGAGAUUGUCCGAAGGAGGAAUACAGUUAUAGGAGUAGUUCCGAGAUCGCCAAGGAUGGAUCCAAAAGAAGCAAGGGUAAACGUAGCAUGAAUAGAGAUGCAAUCAUGUGAAGAGAUACCAAAGAUUUGAUUUGGGUACAGGUUGAGUUUGUCUGUAAUUCCUAAAUUAAAUACACAAAACUUAUAUCUCAACGACGCCACGAUGAAGCGUCAGGCACGCGUGAGUAUCAUGCUUUUAUAUUGCAAGGAUAGUCAAAGGACGAACACUUAUCAGGGAUAGUCAUUUUUCCUUGAAAUAUGUAGUUGAUGCAGAAGGGAAUUUUCAUUUGGGAGUUGAUUAGAGAACUGACUUACGCAGGGUUUCCAACAAAGUUCAUUUGGAGCAAUAACCUGACACAGUGGAGUAGAAGAAAACAACAAAAUGAAUGAUAAGAAAAAAAACAAAACGAAAUGAAUUUGGUAGACUCGGUUGUUCAGGAACUUGAAUCCUCAUUGUGCUAGAUGCAUCUAUCUUAUCAAAAAAGAAAGAAUGUACAAUGCUCAUCAUACUGCAUGUAGUAGAAAGGUAUUUUCGUAUGCUGAACAUUUUCGAAGGACCACGUAGCCCUCUGGAAGACUUAUAGAGAAGCACGUAUUGUACUUGGAUUAUUCCACUGUGACAGUGACAUCAAAUACUAAAAAUGCGUCGGUUUGGAU
This is a long non-coding RNA of Papaver somniferum (opium poppy), 1823 nucleotides long. RefSeq lists it as uncharacterized. NCBI's taxonomy places the organism in Eukaryota, Viridiplantae, Streptophyta, Magnoliopsida, Ranunculales, Papaveraceae. The transcript has 5 exons. The record is from RefSeq and is a predicted model, not a curated record.